GUCGUGGUCAUGUCCCCCUGCCUGGCGCUCAUCCGGCUGCACCCAGGGGGCUGGCUGGAGCACCGGGCGCGCAAGGAGAAAGAGAUCAUCACACCGAAGGCUCAGCGCUAG
Molecule: long non-coding RNA, 111 nt
Filed under: Struthio camelus australis
Lineage: Eukaryota; Metazoa; Chordata; Aves; Struthioniformes; Struthionidae
Description: lncRNA (ENSSCUG00000004495.1)
Source: RNAcentral